UGCUAAUACCGGAUAACAACAGAUGAUGCCUAUCAACUGUUUAAAAGAUGGUUCUGCUAUCACUCUUGGAUGGACCUGCGGUGCAUUAGCUAGUUGGUAGGGUAACGGCCUACCAAGGCGAUGAUGCAUAGCCGAGUUGAGAGACUGAUCGGCCACAUUGGGACUGAGACACGGCCCAAACUCCUACGGGAGGCAGCAGACG
Molecule: ribosomal RNA, 202 nt
Filed under: uncultured Lactobacillus sp.
Lineage: Bacteria; Bacillati; Bacillota; Bacilli; Lactobacillales; Lactobacillaceae
Description: partial 16S ribosomal RNA
Rfam family: Bacterial small subunit ribosomal RNA
Source: RNAcentral